AUGAACGCUGGCGGCGUGCUUAACACAUGCAAGUCGAACGAUGAUCCGGUGCUUGCACCGGGGAUUAGUGGCGAACGGGUGAGUAACACGUGAGUAACCUGCCCUUAACUCUGGGAUAAGCCUGGGAAACUGGGUCUAAUACCGGAUAUGACUGAUCAUCGCAUGGUGGUUGGUGGAAAGCUUUAUUGUGGUUUUGGAUGGACUCGCGGCCUAUCAGCUUGUUGGUGAGGUAAUGGCUUACCAAGGCGACGACGGGUAGCCGGCCUGAGAGGGUGACCGGCCACACUGGGACUGAGACACGGCCCAGACUCCUACGGGAGGCAGCAGUGGGGAAUAUUGCACAAUGGGCGCAAGCCUGAUGCAGCGACGCCGCGUGAGGGAUGACGGCCUUCGGGUUGUAAACCUCUUUCAGUAGGGAAGAAGCGAAAGUGACGGUACCUGCAGAAGAAGCGCCGGCUAACUACGU
This 466-nucleotide ribosomal RNA is filed under the name uncultured bacterium. Its description in RNAcentral is "bacterial SSU rRNA". It matches the Rfam family "Bacterial small subunit ribosomal RNA", at positions 29 to 506 of the family's 1533-position model. The record is from RNAcentral.